GAUAACAUGACAAGGCAUACCAAGUUUGAGAGCUUAUUUUGGACCGAAUAUGUUUACCGAAUGAACCACUUGGAGCAAUAGGACAAGAAUUCAGUUACAGAUAAUUUUAUUUUACCAAAUUAUGUAAUUUGGUAUCCGACAAUUGAUUGUAUACAAAAAACUUUGGUAUUAAAAUGUUGGUCUGCAUGUCAGGUAAGCACAAUGAGUGCCGUCACUGCCAUGUGCAUCUUUAAACAUCCUUGUUAGCAGCAAUUGGGUUCAGCAACAAAACUUGGACGCAAUGGUAGAAAAAUAAAAAUUUAAAAGGAUUCUUAUUAUAAACAAGCAAAUCUUGAAAAAGAAAUUACUUCACAUGACAAUUGUAUGAUGAGGGAUGCCCAGCA
Paramuricea clavata is the source of this 383-nucleotide non-coding RNA. The record is from the annotation of a GenBank genome assembly. NCBI's taxonomy places the organism in Eukaryota, Metazoa, Cnidaria, Anthozoa, Malacalcyonacea, Plexauridae.